This 412-nucleotide ribosomal RNA is filed under the name Bacillus velezensis. RNAcentral describes it as "bacterial SSU rRNA". It matches the Rfam family "Bacterial small subunit ribosomal RNA", at positions 1 to 402 of the family's 1533-position model. Lineage: Bacteria; Bacillati; Bacillota; Bacilli; Caryophanales; Bacillaceae. The record is from RNAcentral.
UUUAUCGGAGAGUUUGAUCCUGGCUCAGGACGAACGCUGGCGGCGUGCCUAAUACAUGCAAGUCGAGCGGACAGAUGGGAGCUUGCUCCCUGAUGUUAGCGGCGGACGGGUGAGUAACACGUGGGUAACCUGCCUGUAAGACUGGGAUAACUCCGGGAAACCGGGGCUAAUACCGGAUGGUUGUCUGAACCGCAUGGUUCAGACAUAAAAGGUGGCUUUGGCUACCACUUACAGAUGGACCCGCGGCGCAUUAGCUAGUUGGUGAGGUAACGGCUCACCAAGGCAACGAUGCGUAGCCGACCUGAGAGGGUGAUCGGCCACACUGGGACUGAGACACGGCCCAGACUCCUACGGGAGGCAGCAGUAGGGAAUCUUCCGCAAUGGACGAAAGUCUGACGGAGCAACGCCGCGU